This is an RNA transcript of Cuculus canorus (common cuckoo), 5772 nucleotides long. It is a transcript of the gene named solute carrier family 38 member 8, with no coding region annotated. The record is from RefSeq and is a predicted model, not a curated record. Lineage: Eukaryota; Metazoa; Chordata; Aves; Cuculiformes; Cuculidae. The transcript has 9 exons.
AGUGCAGAGUUUUGAAAACCUUCAAAACUGCAAAGGCAGCUAAUGAGGAGAGAGCUCCCAAAAAGAUCUCAGUGAUGAGCUGUGUAAAAAGACCUGUCCUUAGAUGACACCUAACAGCAUGGGUUACAGAAAGCCAACACCCCUUUCUGCUUUGGUUUGUCCUGCUCUGUUCAGUUUUGGGCCCCUCAGUUCCAGGAAGACAUUGAGUUGCUGGAGCGUGUCCAGAGGGCAAAGGAGCUGAUGAAGGGUCUGGAGCACAGGGGUUAUGGGGAGUGGCUGAGGGAACUGGGGGUGUUUAGCCUGGAGAAGAGGCUGAGGGGAGGUAUUGCCACUCUCUGCAGCUCCCUGAACAGAGGUUUGUAGGGAGAAGGAUGUUGGUCUCUUCUCCCAAGUAACAAGUGAUAAGAUGAGAGGAAAUGGCCUCAAGUUGCACCAGGGGCAAUUCAGGUUGGAUAUUAGGAUAAAAUUCUUCACUGACAGAGUGGUGAAGCUCUGACAGAGGCUGCCCAGGGAAGUGGUGGAAUCGCCAUCCCUGGAGAUUUUCAGAAGGCAUAUAGAUGUGGCACUUUGGGACAUGGUUUGGUAGGCACAGUGGUGUUGGGCUGACGCUUGGACUUGAUGAUCUUAGAGGUCUUUUCCAACCUUAAUGAUUCUGUUCUACAGCUUAUUAUUGGGUUAGAUUAGGACACAGGCAUAAGUUGCCUCUGGCAGUGUCGCGUCUGUUAAUGUUGUUUCUGUUGUAGUGAAGCUGCUUUUGUCACUGCUCCAAAUAAGGGUACCUUUUCCCAGGAGGAGCAGGGCACUGGUGGCUGCUUCUGUCAGUGAACAGAUGCGGUGCCUGGGCGGGAAAGAGGACUGCCUGUGAACAGUCCUUGUGAGCUCUUGGGCCACUCACUGAUUCCUACCCAGCCCUGGGCACAGCUGGAGAGGGAGAUGGGCUAUCUGACUGCACCCAUGCUGUUUGGGCCUUGUGGUCACGAACAGGGGUGAGGGGCCUUUGGAAGGGUACUGUAAGGAGAGAACAUUUCUCCAUGUAGCCUGGGGAAAACCUUCCAAGAGGUGGCUAUGGAUAGGGUUUCACAAUACGGUGUCCCACAUAAAGGAUUGAGAAAAUCUGUUCUCCCUAAUGUGGGGAGCAGUUGACUUUCCCCAGGCUGCAUCUUCCCUUCUGAAGAUGAGGGUGCAUGGGAAGAGGUGACAUCCUGUUGCAGUGCCAGAGAAGACAGCAAGCUUUCACUCUGUAACUGUUAGUGGAAGCUUGUGGGAGCUGAGGAGAUGGUCCCGAGGCUGGGCUGCUUGUGCCAUCCCAGCGGGGCUGGAGCCCACUGGUGCUCCCUCUCACAACCAACAUGCUGACAGGAACGGGAUUUUCUCCAUCUCACCUGUGGUGUCAAGGUCUCUCACAAGACCAACCAGCAACAGCUCUGCAAGUCGUACUGGUUGCAAGAAAGCUGUCAGCAAGGGUGCAAAACCUCACGGGCCAGGCCUCAGAUUGUGUGUAGGAAAGCAUCAUUGUAGUUGGUGUUUUCAUUUGUCUGAAGCAAGGACUGUCUGUUGGCACCUUUGUGCAUUUGUCUGCCUUCAGAUGGAAGGAGCACUGUGGAAAAUAUACCAGCAGCCCUUUUUCCAUCAAAAAGAGGAGAGGAAGGCACUUGCGAAGGUGGCACAUCAGUGGGUGAAGCUGCCACCCCUGGGGAUCCUUGGAUUGUGGCUCACAUCCUGGGGGCUGGAUCACCCGGAGAAAUGGGAGGAAAGAGCCAAAAAUAUGAGCGAGGGAGCCCAAAGCCCUGGCUUUGGAGAAACCUCCUGGAGCUGCUGUGCUGGCAUGGUAGGUGGGCCUUGUCCCUUUGAUUUGGAGCACUCCUGUCAGAGGGAGCCUGGAAAGGCUUGGUGCCACUGCUCCAGUCGGUGCUAAUGAGGGGGCUCUCUCCUCUCAUCAUAGCAGUAAUGAGAGAUUACAGCUCCACCACAGACUUGAAACCAGAGUCGAGCUGUAUCAAAGCGCCAGUCUGAAAUAAGAGCUUUUCCCAGUGGAUGGUAUUUUACAGCCCAGUGGCCAAUUUCUAAAUCGUAGAGGCUGAUUAUUUCUGAAGCCUUUGGUGUGCGGCUAAUGAAGGCCUGGAAAGGCCCUUCUGAAUGGUUAUAAGCCCUGCAGGCGGCAGAGAUGUAAUGUAGGUGACAGGCACAACUAGCCAUCUAUAAUUCCUCCUAGCAGCUGAUUAAAGUCUCUUUAUCCGUCUUACCAAGCUCAGAAGGGCACAUAUUUGGGAAAUCAAAAAUGCAUUAGGGGCUGUCAGCCAGCGUCAGGGGCCUGUGCGCUGAGCCCUGGGGCAUCGCUGGGGUGGCACAGAGCUGCGCCUGUCCCCUCUGUGGGAUGCAGCCUCUUCUGUGCAGGUUCCCUACAGCAUGUGUCACCCUAUCCUGUUAUCUGGGCACCCGCUUUCCUCGUGUGGAGCAGGGGAUGGAGUGGCUCUUUGUGCAGGAGCCUCCCAAGUGCAGGAGCACCCUGGUGGCUGCUGCAGAGACACUAAAGUGCUGUCCUCAUCCUGCACCCAACAAGUGGUGAAGGUCAAGCAUCCACCAGCCCAACUGUGCUGAAGGGCAGGUGAUGCAGCCACUUUCAUUGCACUCACAGCCCUGAGGUGGUCCGAAAUGCCCCAUAGUGGGAAUUUCGUGGAUGCAGCCAGAACAGAUAGCUCCCCUCCACCUGCCCAGCCUGAGCCUCAUGUUGGAAGCUGCUAAUUUUCCUGUGGUCUGUGUUAGCUCUUUGGGACUGGGGGAUGUGCACAGGCAGUGGGAUGAGACUGCUGGUUCGAAGGAGGAGUGCAGGACUGGAGGAUAGGGACCGCUGCUCCGAGGCAGAGGUGCGGGGCGGGCUGGGAACCGCUGCUCCGAGGCAGGGGUACGCGAGCCCUGGGUCCUCUCCUCCGAGGGCUCGGGGGCGAUGCCCGCUCCCCUGCCCCCGCGCCGGGGUGGGAUCAGGACGGGAUUUUCCUUGCGUGCGCUCCGUGCGGGGGGUCCGCAGCCCGGCCCCUGCCCCCACUCGCUGUCCCCUCCCCGCGGAGGGGAGCGCAGGGGGCAGAGGCGGGAUGGAGCGGGAGGGCGAGCGGCGGCCGCUGGUGCGGGCGGAGGGCAGCGCCGGACUCUCCUCCGCCGGCGCCGUCUUCAUCCUCCUGAAAUCGGCGCUGGGUGCGGGGCUGCUCAGCUUCCCCUGGGCCUUCAGCAGGGCGGGCGGCGCGGUCCCUGCUCUCCUGGUGGAGCUGGGCUCACUGGUCUUCCUGGUGAGUGGGCUGGCGGUGCUGGGCUACGCAGCUGCCCUCAGCGCCCAGCCCACCUACCAGGGGGUCAUCCGGGUGGUGUGCGGGGCAGUGGCGGGGAAACUCUGCGAGGUCUGCUUCCUCCUCAACCUCUUCAUGAUCUCCGUGGCCCUCCUCAGAGUGGUGGGUGACCAGCUGGAGAAACUGUGCGACUCCCUGUACUCCAAUGGGACGCUGAGCGGGAGCCUCCUGCCACCCCCCUGGUAUGCGGACCAGCGCUUCACCCUGUCGGCUCUCUGCGUCCUUGUCAUCUUCCCCCUCUCCGUCCCUAAGGAGAUUGGCUUCCAGAAGUAUUCCAGCAUCCUGGGCACGCUGGCUGCUUGCUACCUCACCAUGGUCGUCGUCCUGAAAUACUACCUGCAAGCAGAGAGCCUGAGUUUCUCCAAGCCCCCCCAGCCCUCCAGGGCCUCCUCCUGGGCCUCUGUCUUCAGCGUCAUCCCCACCAUCUGCUUUGGCUUCCAGUGCCACGAGGCCUGCGUGGCCAUCUAUAGCAGCAUGCGCAACCAGAGCUUUUCCCACUGGGUCACCGUCUCUGUGCUCUCCAUGCUGAUCUGCCUGCUCAUCUACUCCCUCACUGGUAACCCCAGCACUGGACCCCUUCUUCCCCUCCUGGCCUUUGGGAUCUCCCCCAUCCCCAGGGCUUAUCCAUCCUCAUUGGAGCUCUUCCAUCCUUCUCACUGGCAUGGCGGCCCACCCCCACCUCCCCAUCGGCAGGGGGUCUAUGGAUACCUGACCUUCGGGGAGGCCGUGGCAUCCGAUGUCCUGAUGUCCUACCCAGGGAAUGACCCGGUUGUCAUUGUUGCCCGUGUCCUAUUUGGUGUUUCCAUCAUCACCAUCUACCCCAUUGCGGUGCUGCUGGGCAGGUCAGUGGUGUGGGACAUGUGGGUGACUCCCAAGUGUGGGGCUGCGGCGGUGCCUGAGGCACAUGAGCAGCGGAGCCGGGUGGCACUGACGGUCACCUGGAUGGCCACCACACUUGCCAUUGCCCUGUUUGUCCCGGACAUCGGCAAGGUCAUCGAGCUCAUCGGGGGCAUCAGCGCCUUCUUCAUCUUCAUCUUCCCAGGCAAGACAGGGCUGUGCCUGGUGUGCAUGACCGGGACUCACACCCUUGGACCACGCAAAAAGUGAGUCUGCGGGCUCGGUGGCGGCAGGCAAGGGCAGGGACAGGGUGCAGCACCCCAUUCCCAGGCAGCGUCCCUUGGGGUCACCCUGGCCAAAGUGGGAGGCCCAUGCGGAGGGGGAUUUGGGGCACCUGCAGGCACUGAAAGCAGCAGCACUUGCUGUGGGAAGUGGUAGGCUGCAGUGGGGCAGAAGGGUGGCUGUGUGGGGAUGUACUCUAGCAGUGUGGAUGUGCCAGGGUAUCGGGGCUGUGCCUUGGUAUUAGGGAUGUGCCUGGCUAUCAAGGAUGAGCCCACACAGGGGGAUGUGCCCAGGUACCAGAGAUGUGCUCAGGCAUCGAGGAGGUGCCAAGGUACCACAUCCCUUGCAAGGCAACGCAGCCAUAGGGGAAGGAAAGCUGUUUGGAGGUACUGGGGCACCCAGUGAGGGCUGACCUGGGGAUCAGGGUGGGAGUCAGAGUGGUUUGGUACCCCAAGGCCAGCAGGAAUCAGGUGUUCAGUGUCUGUAGUGCCAGCACGAUGCAUCCCCAUUACAGCUCCUGACUGGAGAAGCUGGGGCACAGAGGGGAGCUGUCAAAUUUUUGGGGUAGGCAGUACCAAAGCAUGUCCGCAGGUGCCCAUGGGGGAAGAGUAGAGCCUUAGUGCAGAUGAGGUAACGCUAGGGGGGGGUUCUGUCCCCAUGGCAGCUGGGGGAGCACCGCAGGACCUUGGGGUCUCAGACAAGAGGGUGGCCAUGGCUGCCUGGGCAGAGGCGAGGGUGCCCCUGGGGGUGCUGAAGUGCUGGGGGACCAAGGCAGGAGGCGAGCAGGGGCACCAAGGUGGACACCAAGGACUUGGAAAGGUCCCUCAAGGAGACCCAUGAGGGCGUGAGCCCAUGAAUACCACCACGAAGAGAGGGGACAACACGAGCCAUGGCAAUGGGGACAGCGAGGGGACAGUCCCAGCCUGCCUGGGGCAGUUUGGGAAGGGUGCACAGUGCCAACAACCCCGAUGGAGCAGCAGCUGGGUUUGGAGCGGGCACAGGGAAUGAGCCGGAGGGGCUGACGGGGUCUUCAUCCACCUGCCAGCAGCAAUGUAGAGGAGGCCGAGACUGCACAGAGGGCUCCAGACCAGUGGGGCUGGGUGACCCAGGGCUGGCAUGUUACUGGAGAUCAGCUCUGUCCCCACCAGCCUUCUGCUCAUGUCCCCACAGGGCUGCUCUCAUCGCCUGGGGUAUCCUUUCUGUGCUCAGUGGCACCUUCGUCUGCGGGCAGAGUGCUGCUCUGGCCGUGCUGGGGCUCCUGCGUUAAGGGACUGCAGACCCCCCCUCAUCACGUGCCCACCACACACCCCCGAGA